This 916-nucleotide ribosomal RNA is filed under the name Lactiplantibacillus plantarum. Its description in RNAcentral is "bacterial SSU rRNA". It matches the Rfam family "Bacterial small subunit ribosomal RNA", at positions 548 to 1464 of the family's 1533-position model. Lineage: Bacteria; Bacillati; Bacillota; Bacilli; Lactobacillales; Lactobacillaceae. The record is from RNAcentral.
GAUUUAUUGGGCGUAAGCGAGCGCAGGCGGUUUUUUAAGUCUGAUGUGAAAGCCUUCGGCUCAACCGAAGAAGUGCAUCGGAAACUGGGAAACUUGAGUGCAGAAGAGGACAGUGGAACUCCAUGUGUAGCGGUGAAAUGCGUAGAUAUAUGGAAGAACACCAGUGGCGAAGGCGGCUGUCUGGUCUGUAACUGACGCUGAGGCUCGAAAGUAUGGGUAGCAAACAGGAUUAGAUACCCUGGUAGUCCAUACCGUAAACGAUGAAUGCUAAGUGUUGGAGGGUUUCCGCCCUUCAGUGCUGCAGCUAACGCAUUAAGCAUUCCGCCUGGGGAGUACGGCCGCAAGGCUGAAACUCAAAGGAAUUGACGGGGGCCCGCACAAGCGGUGGAGCAUGUGGUUUAAUUCGAAGCUACGCGAAGAACCUUACCAGGUCUUGACAUACUAUGCAAAUCUAAGAGAUUAGACGUUCCCUUCGGGGACAUGGAUACAGGUGGUGCAUGGUUGUCGUCAGCUCGUGUCGUGAGAUGUUGGGUUAAGUCCCGCAACGAGCGCAACCCUUAUUAUCAGUUGCCAGCAUUAAGUUGGGCACUCUGGUGAGACUGCCGGUGACAAACCGGAGGAAGGUGGGGAUGACGUCAAAUCAUCAUGCCCCUUAUGACCUGGGCUACACACGUGCUACAAUGGAUGGUACAACGAGUUGCGAACUCGCGAGAGUAAGCUAAUCUCUUAAAGCCAUUCUCAGUUCGGAUUGUAGGCUGCAACUCGCCUACAUGAAGUCGGAAUCGCUAGUAAUCGCGGAUCAGCAUGCCGCGGUGAAUACGUUCCCGGGCCUUGUACACACCGCCCGUCACACCAUGAGAGUUUGUAACACCCAAAGUCGGUGGGGUAACCUUUUAGGAACCAGCCGCCUAAGGUG